CCUACGGUGGGCAGCAGUGGGGAAUAUUGGGCAAUGGGCACAAGCCUGACUCAGCAACGCCGCGUGAAGGAAGAAUGCUUUCGGGUUGUAAACUUCUUUUCUCAGGGACGAAGAAAGUGACGGUACCUGAGGAAUAAGCUACGGCUAACUACGUGCAAGCAGCCGCGGUAAUACGUAGGUGGCAAGCGUUAUCCGGAUUUAUUGGGGGUAAAGGUCGCGUAGGCGGGAGGGCAAGUCAGAUGUGAAAACUCAGGGCUCAACCCUGAGCCUGCAUUUGAAACUGUGUUUCUUGAGUGCUGGAGAGGCAAUCGGAAUUCCAGGUGUAGCGGUGAAAUGCGUAGAUAUACGGAGGAACACCAGUGGCGAAGGCGGAUUGCUGGACAGUAACUGACGCUGAGGAGCGAAAGCGUGGGGAGCAAACAGGAUUAGAUACCCUAGUAGUC
RNAcentral lists this ribosomal RNA (443 nucleotides) under uncultured bacterium. RNAcentral's name for it is "partial 16S ribosomal RNA". It matches the Rfam family "Bacterial small subunit ribosomal RNA", at positions 338 to 795 of the family's 1533-position model. The record is from RNAcentral.